UUUUAUUAUACCGAUAUAAUGCAGUUGUUUUUACGAAAAUGGAAAAUGCAUAGUCGUGAGAUAGAAAAUUGGGAUAGUUUCCUGCAAUCCACCGGUCCUAAAAUUUAAUAAAUAAAUUGAUGGUACACUUCGUGAUUUCCUUAGUUCAAUUGAAAUUUAAUUAUUUAUCUUGAAAAUCAAUAUAAACAAAUUGAAUUUCGCAGAAGACGAGGGUCUUAAUAAUUGUUUACUUAUGUAAAUUGUUGGCAAAAUACUCAAUAAGCUGUGUUUAAUACGUAGUAAGGCUUUAUCAACCCGAGUCAGGCGAAGGUUGGCUUCUCCAUGAGACCCUUCAGCUGUUACUUAUUAAAAUGACACUCAGGAUUAACGGAAAUUCUAUUAUUUUUUGAGAAAAGUAUUCUCUAAUAAGAAGCACUCACCCGGACCGGCUCGUGUAAUCAUCCCCUGGGAAAUCUAAGCCUUUGUUUUGUGAUAUGCAUCGAAUUAAUUCCAAAGCAAGAAAAAUCCCAACUGAAUUGUAUUUUUAUAUGAAAGAAUU
Long non-coding RNA from Plodia interpunctella (Indianmeal moth), 538 nucleotides. RefSeq lists it as uncharacterized. NCBI's taxonomy places the organism in Eukaryota, Metazoa, Arthropoda, Insecta, Lepidoptera, Pyralidae. The record is from RefSeq and is a predicted model, not a curated record. The transcript is spliced from 3 exons.